GGUCCCUAAAAAAUAUCUGCUUCCCAAACACCAGCUCAACACUUUCCAGAGAACCCAGCCCGUGAGUGUGGGUGCCAAAUCCCAAGGGGUGAAAUGGGGCCUUGGGACUGGACCACUCUGCCCUGGUGGCAAAGGGGCCCCAGUCACUGGUGGACUGGCCUUGGAAAGGAAGGGACAAGAGGCAAUCCUCCUAAUGAGCAGAGCUUUGAGCAGUGCACAGGGUCACCACACUGUGGAAAGAGAAGCAGUCUGAGAUUACAAUUCAUCCAUAGUCAGGGGAGAAUGAAAAGCAGUGCUGAGAUCUUCAAGAAACCGACAAGUGCCAUUUCUUCAUCAUGGAAAGAAAGAGUGGCCUAGAGAAGUUUGCCCCUUUUCCUCUUCUGGUUUUGCAGUGACCUCAGAAUCCCCAAGCCACCAGGAAAAUACAGUCAAGAAGGGCCAAGGAACCAGAAGAUAAUGCCCUUGUGACCAAAAAUUCUUAUAAAAUUGA
Long non-coding RNA from Manis pentadactyla (Chinese pangolin), 490 nucleotides. RefSeq lists it as uncharacterized. The record is from RefSeq and is a predicted model, not a curated record. Lineage: Eukaryota; Metazoa; Chordata; Mammalia; Pholidota; Manidae. The transcript has 3 exons.